UACGGGGGGGGCAAGCGUUGUUCGGAAUUACUGGGCGUAAAGGGCUCGUAGGCGGCCAACUAAGUCAGACGUGAAAUCCCUCGGCUUAACCGGGGAACUGCGUCUGAUACUGGUUGGCUUGAGUGUGGGAGAGGGAUGCGGAAUUCCAGGUGUAGCGGUGAAAUGCGUAGAUAUCUGGAGGAACACCGGUGGCGAAGGCGGCAUCCUGGACUAUUACUGACGCUGAGGAGCGAAAGCCAGGGGAGCAAACGGG
Molecule: ribosomal RNA, 253 nt
Filed under: uncultured bacterium
Lineage: Bacteria
Description: partial 16S ribosomal RNA
Rfam family: Bacterial small subunit ribosomal RNA
Source: RNAcentral